RNAcentral lists this long non-coding RNA (1775 nucleotides) under Equus caballus (horse). Its description in RNAcentral is "lncRNA (ENSECAG00000047843.1)". The record is from RNAcentral. Lineage: Eukaryota; Metazoa; Chordata; Mammalia; Perissodactyla; Equidae.
GGAACACUACAAGAUAGGUUUGUAUUUUUGAAGGAAAUACAUAAUGGUCUUAAAAAGAAACUGCUUUCUCCAGAACACAUCUUUCUUUUGAGAAGGUGCAGUCUCUUUUCUGUCCCACCCCUACUCUUGAAAACAGCAUGCUAAGGAUGGGAAAGUGGGAAGCAGAGAAGAGCCAGAAUGGCUGCCUGCCGGUGAAGCAGGAGAGGCCAGAGGGAGAGGCUCUGGGCGCCGGUGACUCUGCGGGAGCUGGGAUGCUGUCAGCAGAGGGCAGCAAAGCACGCCCUGCUGUGGAGACCUCUGCGUGUGUGGUAUGGCUCGACCAGGAGGAGAGACAGGGGAAGUGGCCACCUGUUACUUGCUUCUGGGACUUUCUGGAGCUGUUGGUGAACCUCAGGUCUUGCUGGACUGACGCUAUGUUGGUCAAGUCAAUGGGGUCUCGGUAGACUCUGGCCAGGUCUGAUGGAAGCCAGGUUUACUCAGAAGUUGUUUAUUUGAAGAAGACACAUUUAUUUGGUCUGGAGAAAGAAAAUCUGGCUGAGGUGAAAAUCCCUGAGCUGGCUCCAAGGCUCCCUGAAAGGAACAGCAAGUGUAUCAUCAGAUAACCGCCACCCAGCGAUCCCCUGGGAGCGCCCCUUGACCUUUUACCAAAGAUGGACCCACUACAUUCAAGGUCUCUUAUUCCCCCAGCAGUGCUGUUCUAGGUUAAUGCUAUUUUGGGAGCGUGGUUCUUCAUUUCAGUGUGAAUUUCCUCAUCUUUCCGCACAAAUUGAGUGAAAUCCUUAGUGCAUUUUUCUCUUAGAUGGAUGGAGGCUAAAAGAGAAUGGAAGGCCUCCAGCUGUUUGAGGCUCUGUCCUCAACGACAAUCAAAAUUCUCCAUCUUUUCUUGUUCUUGGCACUUUCUGAUUGAAAUAAGAUUCCAGCAUUUAUCUGCACCUGCAAUUUUGACAAGAAAGGAAAAUUUAAAAGACAAGUGAAAGAAUUCUCUGAGGGAAGUCAAUGAGUCGACAGUAGUCAGACGCCUGCGAAUCUCUUUUUGCAUUCCUCCGUCAAUUAAGCUACAGUCACAUAUUGGAGAGCAGAACUUAAGUCUGUGAGUAGAAAUGCAAAAAUGUGCGUGGAUCAGUAGCGGGAACCUUCCUUUGGAGUGAAUAUUACUUGGAGAGCAGCUGAUGAUCAUUGGCGUUGAAACGGAGAGAAUUUCGAGUCAGAGGGUACUUUAAAUUAUAGAUUUGAGUUUAGUUGAAGGUCAAACUUACCUUGCAUGAAUAAAAUCUUCAGAGAUUUUGAAAUAUACUCGGAAAAUGCAGGCUAUCUUGAGCACAUAAGCAUUUCCUUCAGGGGAUAAAAGCAGUUUAAUAUUAUUGCCCUCUGCAUAAUUAUUGAUCAUAUUAGCAUAGAAGAUACUGAAAAGAAAGUCAGAAUAACAGUCUGAUGGCCACGUUGAUUCUCAGCAACUACAACCACGAGUUUAGACAGGAAGUUGCCUGGAGACCUGGAAGAUUGUUCAGGGAAUUUGGUAGUGGCCAGUAGGUUCAUUUUGGCCUAACAAAUGGUACCAAAAUGACCCUCUGAGAGGUGAAAGGGUAUUUAGCUAAUGCCAUACGACAUAAAUAAUCUCCCAUCUCCAGGAAUUUGGGAACCAUCUGUGGGAUCAUAAUGUUGAUUUGGUUAUCUGGAUGCAUAUGUCAUCUGACUCAAAGCUUCCUGGCAGCCGAGAUGAAGAGGGAAAUGUAGUGAGUUACAAACUUACCAUUUGGGAGGGAGAAAUGUACUCA